Molecule: transfer RNA, 112 nt
Organism: Sphaerobolus stellatus SS14
Lineage: Eukaryota; Fungi; Basidiomycota; Agaricomycetes; Geastrales; Sphaerobolaceae
Rfam family: tRNA
About the family: Transfer RNA (tRNA) molecules are approximately 80 nucleotides in length. Their secondary structure includes four short double-helical elements and three loops (D, anti-codon, and T loops). Further hydrogen bonds mediate the characteristic L-shaped molecular structure. tRNAs have two regions of fundamental functional importance: the anti-codon, which is responsible for specific mRNA codon recognition, and the 3' end, to which the tRNAs corresponding amino acid is attached (by aminoacyl-tRNA synthetases). tRNAs cope with the degeneracy of the genetic code in two manners: having more than one tRNA (with a specific anti-codon) for a particular amino acid; and 'wobble' base-pairing, i.e. permitting non-standard base-pairing at the 3rd anti-codon position.
Source: Rfam
GCAUUGCUAGCUCAAUAGGUAGAGCGUGAGACUUUUAUGAUUAGUCCUCACAUGUGGACAACAUUAAUACAUAAUAAUCUCCAGGUUGCAGGUUCAACCCCUGCGUGAGGCU